RNAcentral lists this ribosomal RNA (72 nucleotides) under Erysiphe sp. HV1. RNAcentral's name for it is "partial 28S ribosomal RNA". Lineage: Eukaryota; Fungi; Ascomycota; Leotiomycetes; Helotiales; Erysiphaceae. The record is from RNAcentral.
GGUGGCUUGCCAGAACAACCCCUAUUUGGGUCCAGUUACAUGGAUCACAGGUUGACCUCGAAUCAGGUAGGA